GACGAACCGUGCAAACGUUGUUCGGAAUCACUGGGCUUAAAGGGCGCGUAGGCGGUCAAGCACGUCCGGGGUGAAAGCCUCCAGCUCAACUGGAGAAGUGCCUCGGAUACGGCUCGACUCGAGGGGGGUAGGGGCGUGUGGAACUUCCGGUGGAGCGGUGAAAUGCGUAGAUAUCGGAAGGAACGCCGGUGGCGAAAGCGGCACGCUGGACCCCUUCUGACGCUGAGGCGCGAAAGCCAGGGGAGCAAACGGG
RNAcentral lists this ribosomal RNA (253 nucleotides) under uncultured bacterium. RNAcentral's name for it is "partial 16S ribosomal RNA". It matches the Rfam family "Bacterial small subunit ribosomal RNA", at positions 524 to 776 of the family's 1533-position model. The record is from RNAcentral.